This 446-nucleotide ribosomal RNA is filed under the name uncultured bacterium. Its description in RNAcentral is "partial 16S ribosomal RNA". It matches the Rfam family "Bacterial small subunit ribosomal RNA", at positions 338 to 795 of the family's 1533-position model. The record is from RNAcentral.
CCUACGGUAGGCAGCAGUCGAGAAUCAUUCACAAUGGGGGAAACCCUGAUGGUGCGACGCCGCGUGGGGGAAUGAAGGUCUUCGGAUUGUAAACCCCUGUCAUGUGGGAGCAAAUUAAAAAGACAGUACCACAAGAGGAAGAGAAGGCUAACUCUGUGCCAGCAGACGCGGGAAUACAGAGGUCUCAAGCGUUGUUCGGAAUCACUGGGCGUAAGGCGUGCGUAGGCCGUUUCGUAAGUCGGGUGUGAAAGGCGCGGGCUCAACCCGCGGACGGCACAUGAUACUGCGAGGCUAGAGUAAGGGAGGGGGAACCGGAAUUCUCGGUGUAGCAGUGAAAUGCGUAGAUAUCGAGAGGAACACUCGUGGCGAAGGCGGGUUCCUGGACAUUAACUGACGCUGAGGCACGAAGGCCAGGGGAGCGAAAGGGAUUAGAUACCCCUGUAGUC